RNAcentral lists this ribosomal RNA (533 nucleotides) under bacterium E-2-48-2F. RNAcentral describes it as "bacterial SSU rRNA". It matches the Rfam family "Bacterial small subunit ribosomal RNA", at positions 371 to 895 of the family's 1533-position model. The record is from RNAcentral.
AUGGGGGAAACCCUGAUCCAGCCAUCCCGCGUGUGCGAUGAAGGCCUUCGGGUUGUAAAGCACUUUUGUCAGGGAAGAAAUCGUACAGGCUAAUAUCCUGUGCGGAUGACGGUACCUGAAGAAUAAGCACCGGCUAACUACGUGCCAGCAGCCGCGGUAAUACGUACGGUGCAAGCGUUAAUCGGAAUUACUGGGCGUAAAGGGUGCGCAGGCGGUUUAUCAAGAAAGGUGUGAAAUCCCCGGGCUUAACCUGGGAAUGGCACUUAUUAACUGAUAGGCUAGAGUAUGUCAGAGGGGGGUAGAAUUCCACGUGUAGCAGUGAAAUGCGUAGAGAUGUGGAGGAAUACCGAUGGCGAAGGCAGCCCCCUGGGAUAAUACUGACGCUCAUGCACGAAAGCGUGGGGAGCAAACAUGGAUUAGAUACCCUGGUAGUCCACGCCCUAAACGAUGUCAACUAGCUGUUGGGGCCUUCGGGCCUUAGUAGCGCAGCUAACGCGUGAAGUNGACCGCCUGGGGACUACAGUCGCAAGACU